Molecule: long non-coding RNA, 597 nt
Filed under: Pan troglodytes (chimpanzee)
Lineage: Eukaryota; Metazoa; Chordata; Mammalia; Primates; Hominidae
Description: long non-coding RNA NONPTRT016191
Source: RNAcentral
UUAUAGCUUUCUUCACUCAGCGUAUCCAGUUCUGCAAUUGUAUCAUCAAAAGCUGCUUUUGCCAACCUGCAGGCAGCAUGGUCAGGGGAAUUAAGAAUUUCGUAGUAGAAUACAGAAAAAUUUGAGAGCAAGACCUAAGCGAAUAGGAUGCAUUGGUGGAAGUUCUGUCAUUGCAAUAUCACUAGCAGUUUAUAAGCCACUAGGCUGUUCUCCACAGCCUCCUUCCUGUCAUUUCCUGUGGCAAAUUCUGCCAGAUACCUGUGGUAGUCCCCUUUCAUUUUAUAAUAGAAAACUUUGGACUCGCCAGUGUUAGCUGCUGGAAUGAGGUUUUUGUCCAGUACAUCCAGAAUGUCACAACAGAGUAACUUUAGCUCAGUCUCAAUCAUUUGCUGAUAUUCCCAAAUCAUUUUUAGCUUGUCUUCUCCUUCCUUGUUUUCUUCUUUCUGUUCAAUACUGCUGAUUAUUCUCCAGGAGGCUCUUCUAGCUCCAAUUACAUUCUUAUAUGCAACAGAUGGGAAGUUUAUUUCUUCAACUGUCAGUUCCACAUCCAUCCCUGCUACUUUCUUCAUUGACUACACCAUUUCUUGGAAGAUACUG